Molecule: ribosomal RNA, 253 nt
Filed under: uncultured bacterium
Lineage: Bacteria
Description: partial 16S ribosomal RNA
Rfam family: Bacterial small subunit ribosomal RNA
Source: RNAcentral
UACGUAGGGUCCGAGCGUUGUCCGGAUUUACUGGGCGUAAAGCGUGCGCAGGCGGUGAUGUAAGACAGGUGUGAAGUCCCCGGGCUUAACCUGGGAACUGCAUUUGUGACUGCAUCGCUGGAGUGCGGCAGAGGGGGAUGGAAUUCCGCGUGUAGCAGUGAAAUGCGUAGAUAUGCGGAGGAACACCGAUGGCGAAGGCAAUCCCCUGGGCCUGCACUGACGCUCAUGCACGAAAGCGUGGGGAGCAAACAGG